RNAcentral lists this transfer RNA (73 nucleotides) under Pediococcus parvulus. RNAcentral's name for it is "tRNA-Lys". It matches the Rfam family "tRNA". From Rfam's summary of the family: Transfer RNA (tRNA) molecules are approximately 80 nucleotides in length. Their secondary structure includes four short double-helical elements and three loops (D, anti-codon, and T loops). Lineage: Bacteria; Bacillati; Bacillota; Bacilli; Lactobacillales; Lactobacillaceae. RNAcentral also lists the same sequence under 4 other names. The record is from RNAcentral.
GAGCCGUUAGCUCAGUUGGUAGAGCAUCUGACUUUUAAUCAGAGGGUCGGCAGUUCGAGGCUGCCACGGCUCA